AUUUUAAAAGUAGGUCAAGAUUGCAAAACCUCAAGUUUUCAACCAAAAGACGGAAGCAUUUGCUUGAAACUUACAGUUGUGGCAGGUGUCCGUGUGAACUUUGGUGUGGAUAAAAAUGAGGGUGGUAAGCAAAACCAAGGACAACAGAAAAUACUGAGUAAAUAUCUGGGACAGAAACAGGAGCUGGAACAACAGAAAAAAGAACAGAUAAAGAAGCUGAAAGAGCCAAGAAAAA
Long non-coding RNA from Candoia aspera, 235 nucleotides. RefSeq lists it as uncharacterized. The record is from RefSeq and is a predicted model, not a curated record. The transcript has 4 exons. NCBI's taxonomy places the organism in Eukaryota, Metazoa, Chordata, Lepidosauria, Squamata, Candoiidae.